RNAcentral lists this microRNA precursor (103 nucleotides) under Marmota monax (woodchuck). The record is from RNAcentral. Lineage: Eukaryota; Metazoa; Chordata; Mammalia; Rodentia; Sciuridae.
AGUGAGAUAGCUGGGUCAAAUGGUGGUUCCAUUCCAAGUUUUCUAAGGAAUCUCCAUACUGCUUUCCAGAGUGGUUGCACCAAUUUGAAGUCCCUCCAGCAAU